Molecule: long non-coding RNA, 1522 nt
Organism: Eleginops maclovinus (Patagonian blennie)
Lineage: Eukaryota; Metazoa; Chordata; Actinopteri; Perciformes; Eleginopidae
Exons: 3
Source: RefSeq, a predicted model, not a curated record
UGGAAAAUCUUCCAGCUUUGGUCUGCCCGGUGACGAUCGAAGGAAGGCCACCGAUUGGUUAAUCCGAGGAAGACGACCAAUCAGUGGAGGCGGAAGUCAUCUUGUCGUAGGUGGGAUUGGUGGAGAUAGAGUCCGGCCUACAUGACGCUCUCGAAAAUGAUGACCUUGUUCUCGUCUGUGCCGGGGGACAUGGAGGUCAGGGACCUGAUGUCGGGGGCCAUGUACUCCAGGUGGUGGGGCCCCCACACCGGGGUGGUGAGGUGCCCUUAGCACUGAAGAGUUUGUACAGGAUGCUGACGGGGAUGCAGAGCAUGGAGGAGAGAGCCAGACACCAUCCGAUCACCUCCCCCCACCACGGGUAGACGUACGUGUUGUUGUAGGUCAGCGGCUUGUAGUUCACCAGGUGGAAAAUGAAGAUUCCCUGCAGAGGAGAGGACAGAACAUCAAGCAUAAAACCAGCUGUCAUGGUGUCAGUGGCAGCAAGGUAAACAAGGUAGACCAGACGUCUCUCACCCCAGCAACAUUUCCCAGCUCUUCCCGGGGAUCCCGAGGCAUUCCCAGGCCAGAUGAGAUUUAUAAUCUCUCCGGCGUGUUCUGGGUCGACCCCGGGGUCUCCUAACGUUCUCGGGAAACCUCUAAAGGAAGGCACAGCGGAGGGUCCUGAUCAGAAGCCUCAACCGGCUCCUUUCAACAUUAAGGAGCAGCAGCUCUACUCCGAGUAUGAAUAAACAAAAUCACUCAGUUAUUUGUUUUUGUUUUCCUCUACAGGACCCGCGUUGUUCGGUCUUACCAUGCAGACGCACGGCGUGAUGAAGGACCAGCACCACUUCAUCCAGGGGAACGGCCGGUAGCCGAUCAUACGGGCGACAUCGUCCAUGAAGCGGUCGGCACCUGCAGGGAGGAGAGCGAGCGUCGGUCAGUGGGUCUGCAAAAACUGCAGGAGUAUUAGAGAUAGGAGAAGUCCUUUUUUCACUCUUAAAUCUUUUCUGCUCAAAAACAUUGGCAAACAAUAACUUUAGUGCUUCUUAAAUUACUAUCAUCUUUUGGGGGUGUUAUAUUUUGCUUUUUUUCGACUAAACAUAUUUUGACUUUGUGAUAAAUGGUGUGAUAUUACCCUAGGAACAAUCAUGUCUCAACAAGACCUUCACAAACUCAUUCAUGCGUUGGUUUUCAGCAGGCUCGAUCCCUCAGAAAAAUGCAACUCAUCCAGAACGCUCACUUAUAAAACACUGAAGGAUUACGAGCCAAUCAGAGCUCUCAGAUCUUCGGGGGGCGGGGCAUUGUUUCCUCGGGUCAGAACCACGGCGAAGCUGCUUUUAGUUUUUUACGCACCUUCAGAACACCUGAGGUAUUUUAAGUCGAGGUAAACGUGUAUCUGUACUGCUGCUUACCCAGAAGUCAUUUCACUUUGUUUCAUCCUUCACUUCUUGCAGCAUCGUCUGUAUUUACAUUUCUCUUCUAUGAAUCUGUUAUUCCACCGUGUUUCUUUCCUAUCUAAGUAUUGUGUGUUCAUGUUGAAGUA